UACGUAGGAUGCAAGCGUUGUUCGGAAUUACUGGGCGUAAAGAGUACGUAGGCGGUUUGAAAAGUCUGAUAUUAAAGACUGGGGCUUAACUCCAGGAGUGUAUCGGAAACUGCCGGGCUUGAGUGUGGGAGAGGUGAGUGGAAUUCCUGGUGUAGCGGUGAAAUGCGUAGAUAUCGGGAGGAACACCUGUGGCGAAAGCGGCGCACUGGACCACAACUGACGCUGAGGCGCGAAAGCUAGGGGAGCAAACAGG
RNAcentral lists this ribosomal RNA (253 nucleotides) under uncultured bacterium. RNAcentral's name for it is "partial 16S ribosomal RNA". It matches the Rfam family "Bacterial small subunit ribosomal RNA", at positions 524 to 776 of the family's 1533-position model. The record is from RNAcentral.